GACGAACGCUGGUUGCGUGCUUAACACAUGCAAGUCGAACGGAAAGGCCCUGCUUUUGUGGGGUGCUCGAGUGGCGAACGGGUGAGUAACACGUGAGUAACCUGCCCUUGACUUUGGGAUAACUUCAGGAAACUGGGGCUAAUACCGGAUAGGAGCUCCUGCUGCAUGGUGGGGGUUGGAAAGUUUCGGCGGUUGGGGAUGGACUCGCGGCUUAUCAGCUUGUUGGUGGGGUAGUGGCUUACCAAGGCUUUGACGGGUAGCCGGCCUGAGAGGGUGACCGGCCACAUUGGGACUGAGAUACGGCCCAGACUCCUACGGGAGGCAGCAGUGGGGAAUAUUGCACAAUGGGCGGAAGCCUGAUGCAGCAACGCCGCGUGCGGGAUGACGGCCUUCGGGUUGUAAACCGCUUUCGCCUGUGACGAAGCGUGAGUGACGGUAAUGGGUAAAGAAGCACCGGCUAACUACGUGCCAGCAGCCGCGGUGAUACGUAGGGUGCGAGCGUUGUCCGGAUUUAUUGGGCGUAAAGGGCUCGUAGGUGGUUGAUCGCGUCGGAAGUGUAAUCUUGGGGCUUAACCCUGAGCGUGCUUUCGAUACGGGUUGACUUGAGGAAGGUAGGGGAGAAUGGAAUUCCUGGUGGAGCGGUGGAAUGCGCAGAUAUCAGGAGGAACACCAGUGGCGAAGGCGGUUCUCUGGGCCUUUCCUGACGCUGAGGAGCGAAAGCGUGGGGAGCGAACAGGCUUAGAUACCCUGGUAGUCCACGCUGUAAACGGUGGGUACUAGGUGUGGGGUCCAUUCCACGGGUUCCGUGCCGUAGCUAACGCUUUAAGUACCCCGCCUGGGGAGUACGGCCGCAAGGCUAAAACUCAAAGGAAUUGACGGGGCCCCGCACAAGCGGCGGAGCAUGCGGAUUAAUUCGAUGCAACGCGUAGAACCUUACCUGGGUUUGACAUGGAUCGGGAGUGCUCAGAGAUGGGUGUGCCUCUUUUGGGGUCGGUUCACAGGUGGUGCAUGGCUGUCGUCAGCUCGUGUCGUGAGAUGUUGGGUUAAGUCCCGCAACGGGCGCAACCCUUGUUCACUGUUGCCAGCACGUUAUGGUGGGGACUCAGUGGAGACCGCCGGGGUCAACUCGGAGGAAGGUGGGGAUGACGUCAAGUCAUCAUGCCCCUUAUGUCCAGGGCUUCACGCAUGCUACAAUGGCUGGUACAGAGAGUGGCGAGCCUGUGAGGGUGAGCGAAUCUCGGAAAGCCGGUCUCAGUUCGGAUUGGGGUCUGCAACUCGACCUCAUGAAGUCGGAGUCGCUAGUAAUCGCAGAUCAGCAACGCUGCGGUGAAUACGUUCCCGGG
RNAcentral lists this ribosomal RNA (1343 nucleotides) under uncultured bacterium. RNAcentral's name for it is "16S ribosomal RNA". It matches the Rfam family "Bacterial small subunit ribosomal RNA", at positions 28 to 1378 of the family's 1533-position model. The record is from RNAcentral.